CCAGCAGCCGCGGUAAUUCCAGCUCCAAUAGCGUAUAUUAAAGUUGUUGCAGUUAAAAAGCUCGUAGUUGAACCUUGGGCGCGGCGCAUCCGGUCGACCGCAAGGCCAGACUGGGUCGCCAAGCCUCUUUGGGGGACUCGCUGCUCCGGCGGCGAGGCAACCCGAGUUACUGUGAAGAAAUUAGAGUGUUUAAAGCAGGCGAUCGCUUGAAUACAUCAGCAUGGAAUAACAAGAUAAGACAUUAGUCUUCUUGUUGGUUUGGAGACAAAUGUAAUGAUUAAUAGGGCCAGUUGGGGGCAUUAGUAUUUAGUAGUUAGAGGUGAAAUUCUUGGAUUUACUAAAGA
Molecule: ribosomal RNA, 344 nt
Filed under: uncultured eukaryote
Lineage: Eukaryota
Description: SSU rRNA
Rfam family: Eukaryotic small subunit ribosomal RNA
Source: RNAcentral